AUUGAAACACUGGUUCCCAUACAAUCACUGAAGUUAAGCAAGGUUAAGCCUGGUCACUACCUAGAUGGGUGACUGCUUGACAAUACCAGGUACUGUAAG
This is a non-coding RNA of Acanthosepion pharaonis, 99 nucleotides long. The record is from the annotation of a GenBank genome assembly. Lineage: Eukaryota; Metazoa; Mollusca; Cephalopoda; Sepiida; Sepiidae.